GCUUUGGCGGGCCUGCGCCCCAAGAAUGCGCUGCCGGCUCUGCCGGCCCGCGCCCGCCGGAGGACCCUCAAACCCCCGUCUUUAUCGUCGCCGUCUGAGCUUAAAACAAAACAAGUUUAAAACUUUCAACAACGGAUCUCUUGGUUCUGGCAUCGAUGAAGAACGCAGCGAAAUGCGAUAA
RNAcentral lists this ribosomal RNA (181 nucleotides) under Botryosphaeria sp. BJ10200-X. RNAcentral's name for it is "partial 18S ribosomal RNA". The stretch from base 121 to 181 matches the Rfam family "5.8S ribosomal RNA", at positions 1 to 61 of the family's 154-position model. The record is from RNAcentral. Lineage: Eukaryota; Fungi; Ascomycota; Dothideomycetes; Botryosphaeriales; Botryosphaeriaceae.